RNAcentral lists this ribosomal RNA (335 nucleotides) under uncultured Photobacterium sp. RNAcentral describes it as "bacterial SSU rRNA". It matches the Rfam family "Bacterial small subunit ribosomal RNA", at positions 30 to 334 of the family's 1533-position model. The record is from RNAcentral. Lineage: Bacteria; Pseudomonadati; Pseudomonadota; Gammaproteobacteria; Vibrionales; Vibrionaceae.
AUUGAACGCUGGCGGCAGGCCUAACACAUGCAAGUCGAGCGGCAGCGACAGUAACAAUCCUUCGGGUGCGUUAUUGGGCGGCGAGCGGCGGACGGGUGAGUAAUGUCUGGGAAUAUGCCUUGAUGUGGGGGAUAACUAUUGGAAACGAUAGCUAAUACCGCAUAAUGUCCUUGUUCAUUACGAGCAGAGACCAAAGAGGGGGACCUUCGGGCCUCUCGCGUCAAGAUUAGCCCAGGUGGGAUUAGCUGGUUGGUGGGGUAAAGGCUCACCAAGGCGACGAUCCCUAGCUGGUCUGAGAGGAUGAUCAGCCACACUGGAACUGAGACACGGUCCAG